CACGGGGGGAGAGUUUGAUCCUGGCUCAGGUUGAACGCUGGCGGCAGGCCUAACACAUGCAAGUCGAGCGGUAACAGGACUAGCUUGCUAGUUGCUGACGAGCGGCGGACGGGUGCGUAACACGUAGGAAUCUGCCCGGUAGUGGGGGAUAGCCCGGAGAAAUCCGGAUUAAUACCGCAUACGCCCUAAGGGGGAAAGAUGGCCUCUUCUUGAAAGCUAUCACUAUCGGAUGAGCCUGCGUCGGAUUAGCUAGUUGGUGAGGUAAAGGCUCACCAAGGCGACGAUCCGUAGCUGGUCUGAGAGGAUGAUCAGCCACACUGGGACUGAGACACGGCCCAGACUCCUACGGGAGGCAGCAGUGGGGAAUAUUGCACAAUGGGCGCAAGCCUGAUGCAGCCAUGCCGCGUGUGUGAAGAAGGCUCUAGGGUUGUAAAGCACUUUCAGCGAGGAGGAAAGGUUAAAGAUUAAUACUCU
RNAcentral lists this ribosomal RNA (474 nucleotides) under uncultured Endozoicomonas sp. RNAcentral's name for it is "bacterial SSU rRNA". It matches the Rfam family "Bacterial small subunit ribosomal RNA", at positions 1 to 470 of the family's 1533-position model. Lineage: Bacteria; Pseudomonadati; Pseudomonadota; Gammaproteobacteria; Oceanospirillales; Endozoicomonadaceae. The record is from RNAcentral.